Molecule: non-coding RNA, 47 nt
Organism: Streptomyces sp. NRRL F-6491
Lineage: Bacteria; Bacillati; Actinomycetota; Actinomycetes; Kitasatosporales; Streptomycetaceae
Source: Rfam
CGCCGAGUCCGAGCUCCGGUAAUCCACCGGAGUCUGGUGCAAAGGGA